Molecule: ribosomal RNA, 490 nt
Filed under: uncultured bacterium
Lineage: Bacteria
Description: partial 16S ribosomal RNA
Rfam family: Bacterial small subunit ribosomal RNA
Source: RNAcentral
CUUUCCCUCUUUCUUCAUGCUUUACACAUGCAAGUCGGACGGCAGCACAGAGAAGCUUGCUUCUUGGGUGGCGAGUGGCGAACGGGUGAGUAAUAUAUCGGAACGUACCGAGUAAUGGGGGAUAACUAAUCGAAAGAUUAGCUACUACCGCAUAUUCUCUGAGGAGGAAAGCAGGGGACCUUCGGGCCUUGCGUUAUUCGAGCGGCCGAUAUCUGAUUAGCUAGUUGGUGGGGUAAAGGCCUACCAAGGCGACGAUCAGUAGCGGGUCUGAGAGGAUGAUCCGCCACACUGGGACUGAGACACGGCCCAGACUCCUACGGGAGGCAGCAGUGGGGAAUUUUGGACAAUGGGCGCAAGCCUGAUCCAGCCAUGCCGCGUGUCUGAAGAAGGCCUUCGGGUUGUAAAGGACUUUUGUCAGGGAAGAAAAGGCUGUUGCUAAUAUCAAUAGCUGAUGACGGUACCUGAAGAAUAAGCACCGGCUAACUACGUG